GUAGGGCAUAGCCCGGCGAAAGUCGGAUUAACACCCUAUGUUUCCUUUGAUGGCAUCUGAUUUGGAACAAAGAUUUAUCGCUAUGGGAUGGGGAUGCGUCUGAUUAGGGUAGUAGGCGGGGCAACGGCCCACCUAGCCGACGAUCAGUAGGGGUUCUGAGAGGAAGGUCCCCCACAUUGGAACUGAGACACGGUCCAAACUCCUACGGGAGGCAGCAGUGAGGAAUAUUGGUCAAUGGGCGAGAGCCUGAACCAGCCAAGUAGCGUGCAGGAUGACGGCCCUAUGGGUUGUAAACUGCUUUUGCAUGGGAAUAAAGUGAGGGACGCGUCCCUUUUUGUAUGUACCAUGAGAAUAAGGACCGGCUAAUUCCGUGCC
This 375-nucleotide ribosomal RNA is filed under the name uncultured bacterium. Its description in RNAcentral is "bacterial SSU rRNA". It matches the Rfam family "Bacterial small subunit ribosomal RNA", at positions 136 to 509 of the family's 1533-position model. The record is from RNAcentral.